This is a long non-coding RNA of Rosa rugosa (rugosa rose), 1262 nucleotides long. RefSeq lists it as uncharacterized. The transcript has 3 exons. The record is from RefSeq and is a predicted model, not a curated record. NCBI's taxonomy places the organism in Eukaryota, Viridiplantae, Streptophyta, Magnoliopsida, Rosales, Rosaceae.
UCAGGAAUGUGGUCCUCGUUUUACACUCAGAAAUUAACAGUCUUUUCCAUCCUUUUGGUGAAAUGUCCUCUACUGGUAACACAUGUCCUUUAACGUGAACAACUUAACUGGACCAAUCCCUGCCUUCUUGGGAAACAUUAGCACUCUAAAAUACUUGAACCUUGAGACUAACAUGUUUUUCUAGAACUGUUCCUCCUGACCUUGGGAAGUUGGUUAACUUGCAGAAUCUGUAAGCUCCUUCUUUUCAACCACAAUUUGUUUUACUUUUUUUGUUUUUAUUUGAAGUAUUAAGUAGUUGAAUAAGCAACUACCAACUGAUUAGUUGGCUCUGGUGUCUACAACAUUAUUAGUACAAACAAUCUCACAGGAGUAUUGCAUGUACGUGUCUAAUUCUGACCUCGAAAAGACCAUAUUAAGGACGUUGGCCAAAGGUGCAGCAACAUCUCUAAGCUUUACAGGUGAUUAAUUACUUGUACUUGUGCUAAUUUUUUAUUUUUAUGUAUUAGAAUGAAGUUUACUGUUGGUAUAUAUAAUUAAGCAAUGAUAAUUGUUAAUAGUUGGACUGUUUUUAGUGUUUGUAUUAAGAAUUUCAUGAUGAUUAUGCUGAUCGGCUAUUGACCAUUGAAGCCGAUCAGCAUAGUUGGUCAAUCUUUUGUUCCUUUUGUGCUUUGAAUUGUAGGAGUUCUAUACAUUGAAGAAACCAGCUAUUCUUAACAAUAAAAGUGUUGUACAAGUAAGUGAUACCUCCUCAGUCAUUUUCUAAUAUUUAUUUUAACAAAGCAAUGUUGGUACUUUCUCAUUUUCUUAAAUCUCCUCAAUUAUGGCUUCUAAGCUAGAAGUUCUAAAUUCUGGGUAUGUUUAAUGCAGGGUUGGUAAACCUGAGAGGAAGAAGUCUCAGAGUUGGUAUGCAUUUUUAACAUCUGAACCAUCAUCAUAUUCUAACAUAUACUUGUGUCUAUAUUUACUAGCUAAUGCAAGCAGACAUUUGCAUUCUUUCUGUGCCUAGUUCAGUUUUAAUAUUUUGGUAACAGUUAUUCGAUAUAUGUGAUUUUAGAUUUGAGCUGUUCACAUUUGCAUUCUAAAGCUCAAAUAUUUAUAAAUUGAUCCACAUGUUUUAUAAUUUUUUUUUUCUAUAUCAUUUACAUUUGAGUUGCAUAUUCUGCAUUACCUGUCGUCUGGCUUGCCUCUACUCAUUCAUAUGGAUUGAGGGAAGAUGAAUUGUGAAAAUGUCAUUUUAUCUUUUAACAGUACUUUUAAGUUUA